RNAcentral lists this unclassified non-coding RNA (334 nucleotides) under soil metagenome. RNAcentral describes it as "partial contains 5.8S ribosomal RNA, internal transcribed spacer 2, and large subunit ribosomal RNA". The stretch from base 1 to 120 matches the Rfam family "5.8S ribosomal RNA", at positions 35 to 154 of the family's 154-position model. The record is from RNAcentral.
GAUGAAGAACGUAGUGAAAUGCGAUAAGUAAUGUGAAUUGCAGAAUUCAGUGAAUCAUCGAAUCUUUGAACGCACAUUGCGCCCGCCAGUAUUCUGGCGGGCAUGCCUGUUCGAGCGUCAUUUCAACCAUCAAGCCUCAGGCUUGUGUUGGAGCCCUGCGGCUGCCGCAGCCUCCCAAAACCAGUGGCGGGCUCGCUAUCACACCGAGUGCAGUAGUUUACUCUUCGCUCAGGGCGUGUGGCGGGUGCUAGCCGUGAAACCCCCCACUUCUCAAGGUUGACCUCGGAUCAGGUAGGAAUACCCGCUGAACUUAAGCAUAUCAAUAAGCGGAGGA